AUGCCACAUUCCUUCUCUACCCUCCCCCCUUCCAAAUCCGUCAUUCCGUGGCGGAGGAGGGCGGCGCGUCCUGUCAUUGGCCCUCUCCUCCUGUCACUCUCGCGCUUUGUCCCGCCCACCGCGCCACCCCAUUGGGCGGGUGGAGCCGCCCCUCUGCGGGAGUGGUCAGGCAGGCUGUCCAUCUCCGCCCGUGGCCACGCCUGCUCUCCGUCUCGGCCGCGCGGCAGGCAGGUUAGGUUGCUAUCGUCAGAGGAGGUUUGUGUGAAGUGCCUGCGCCCCCCGGACAAGAUGAGCGAUCAGGAGCCCAACACCGACGACAUCAACGCAGGAAAGUCCGAGAGCCGGGCGGGAGGAGGAGGAGGAGGCGGAUUUGUCCAGAAGGGGCAGGACUCCCAGCCGUCUCCGUUGGCUCUAUUGGCUGCUACAUGUAGUAGAAUUGAGCCUCCUGAAAAUGGAAAUUGUGCGGGCCAACAGCAGGGUGCAACAGAACUGGAUUUGAGCACUGCCCAAAUAGCACAAACAGCCAAUGGCUGGCAGAUAAUAUCUACAUCUUCUGCAUCCAAGGACCAAGCCGGAGGAGAUAACUCUUCAAAGAACCGUCCAAUAGCUCCUGGACAAUUUGUGGUAGCGGCAUCUCCAAACGUGCAAAAUCAGCAGGUGCUGGCCAGUCUUCAGAGCGUAAUGCCUAAUAUUCAGUAUCAAGUUAUACCACAGUUCCAGACUGUGGACGGACAGCAGCUGCAGUUUACCACUGCCCCUCAGGUCAGUGUCCAGCAGGAUGCCUCUGGACAGCUGCAGAUCAUCCCUACUACCAAUCAGCAAAUAAUUACUACCAAUCGGGCUGGUGGGGGAAACAUACUUACCAUGCCCAACCUUCUUCAGCAAGCUGUCCCUAUUCAGGGGAUGGGUCUAGCCAAUAAUGUCCUUUCAGGGCAGACCCAGUACUUGACCAAUGUUCCUGUUGCUCUUAAUGGCAACAUUACCCUUCUCCCUGUGAAUGCAGCUUCGCUGACACCCACAUCUCAGUCGGUCACACUGAGCAGUAGCAAUCAGGAUAACUCUCAGCCUGUUACUUCAUGUGUUAGUUCAUCACAGCUGGUCACCUCUCAGGCCAAUGCCUACUUUACAAAUGCUAAUAGUCUCACCACCAGCACCACUGCUAGCGGUAUGAAUCUCUUGCAUUGUAGCAGUGGAAGCAGCACGCAAGGGACCAAUGUCCAAGUUCAGAGUUCUCAGAGAUCAAGUGGUCAGCUCAGCUUGGUUACUGACUCCAUUCAGCAGACCAGCAGCACCAUGCAACAGGGCCAGCAAAAAGAAGGUGACCAAUCGCAGCAGCAACAACAGCAGCAACAAAUUCUCAUUCAGCCACAGAUUGUUCAAGGUGGACAGACUAUCCAGACUUUACAAGCUGCACAACUUUCUGGCCAAACCUUCAGUGCACAAGCCAUCUCACAAGAUGCCCUUCAAAACCUUCAGUUUCAAACUAUGUCCAACACAGGUCCAAUUAUUAUCCGUACUCCUACAGUGGGUCCCAAUGGGCAAGUUACUUGGCAAACUAUACAAUUGCAAAACCUACAAGUUCAAAACCCUCAACAGACAAUCACUCUUGCACCCAUGCAAGGAGUCUCUCUGGGCCAGUCAGGUAACAACUCCAUGCAAGCUGGCACAGUGACUGUGAAUGCUGCACAACUUUCAUCAAUGCCGGGCCUUCAGACCAUUAACCUAGGUGCCUUAGGAGCCUCUGGAAUACAAGUUCACCAACUUCAAGGGGUUCCUCUGACAAUAACUAAUGCAGCUGGAGAUGGAACUGGCCACCUAAGCAUUCAUGCUACUGGAGCUGAUGGGUUACACGAGGAUCAUUCUGCCAUGGAAGAGGGUGAAACAAGCCCAGAUCCUCAACCACAACCUGGACGGAGAAUGCGCAGGGAGGCUUGUACUUGUCCUUACUGUAAAGACAGCGAGGGAAGGAGUUCAAGUGACCCAGGGAAGAAAAAGCAGCAUAUCUGUCAUAUUCCAGGCUGUGGAAAAGUUUAUGGAAAGACGUCUCACCUGAGAGCUCAUUUACGUUGGCACACAGGAGAAAGACCUUUUGUCUGCACCUGGGUGUUCUGCGGAAAGCGUUUUACCCGGAGUGAUGAGCUACAGAGACACAAACGUACCCACACCGGUGAGAAGAAAUUUGUGUGUCCAGAGUGUCCGAAGCGCUUCAUGAGAAGUGAUCACCUGUCCAAGCACAUAAAGACACAUCAAAACAAGAAGGGGCAGACUGGACCAGUAGCCAUGACGACUGUUUCUAUGGAAACAGGGUCAGAUGGAAGUGCUGCCUCCACCCCCACCCCCCAGACCCUAAUCACCACCAAUAUGGUAGCCAUGGAAGCAAUAUCGCCUGAAGGCAUUGCCCGCCUCGCCAGCAGCGGCAUAAAUGUCAUGCAAGUGGCAGACUUGCAGUCAAUCAACAUCAGUGGCAAUGGCUACUGAGGGGCCUUGUCCAGACAGGACUGUAAAUAAUUGGGAAAAAUUUGUUUUGGUAUUGGAGUUAGGGCUAUAAAAGAAUGAUGGGUCCAAAAGCAUAUAUGUGGAAUAUGUCAAAUGUCUCUGACAUGGAAGUUUGUGCCAACUUAUCUUCCCAACCUCAAUGUGGGGAGACUCAUGCUCUGUAGCAAUUUUCGUUUUAUUUUUUGUUUUUGUUUCCCCCCCCCCCACCAUACAUACAUCCUCAUUGAUUAACAUUAUAUUACAGUUAACUACAGGGCUUCCUGUUUGGAAAGAAGGUAACAAUAUGUGUUUAAAUGGAGUGGAAUUGCUAUAAAGGCUGAUAUCCGCCUUCUGUGUAAGUGAAGGAGUGCCAGGUACACCUAUAGGCUUGAGUGUAAGUACCAGCAGUUAGCCACUGUAAUGCCCCUGACUUAGGGUGAAGGUUGUGAAGAUGUUUGCCAGGACUUAUCUAUUCUUCCUUUUUUAUCAUAAAUAUAUAUAUAUAUAUAUAAUAAAUAUUUCUAUUUUCUUAUAUUUUCAAAAACAGAGGAAAACCUAAGGUACAUGUGUAAACAUUGGACCUUUAGAAUUAUUGUCAAAGCAAUACAUUUUUAACAAGACGCAUAUAUAUAUAUAUAUAGGAUAUUAAAACAUUAAAUAAAAUGCCAAAAAAUUAUAACAAGUGCUUAGACCAAAAUUUACUCUGGUCACUCUGCAUAGCCUUAUCUUGUUAGAACCUUUUGUUUUUUGCUAAUCUGUAAUAUGGAUAGAUUGCAUUCUACAUUAUUGAAUUUUAGGCAUUUUGUGCGAUUAUGUAUACAUUUUCUCUUUACAUCCUUUUCGUCUCUAGCUGUCACAUUCCCAUUGAGCAGGAGAAAUAAUACCGAUCCAUGUGGGUCACAAACUGUUACUGCAGGAUUGUCUGUACCUGGCCUACACUCUAGUGCAGUGGUCCGCAGGUUGAAGACCACUCUAAGUACUCUAAGUAAAUGUCACUCGGGUGCUUUGGCUGUGUUGCUUGCUUGGAAACUUGAAAUCAGAAUCAAUGCAAAACAGUGAAGCCAAACUUGUGUACGUAGUGAUGUAUGAACAAUUUGGAGGCUAAACACACAAUGGAGCUGCUAAAGUGCUGAUUGUUUUGCAUCUUUUAUUUGCUUUCCUGGCAUUGAAUGGUCCAUUUAGAAUGGAAGACAACUUGUGGAGCAGUAAAAUCCCCUGAACAGUAGUGCCCCAGACUAGUGAACUCACAUUUCCACACUCUUAAUGCACAUGCUCUUUAUCGGUUGCAUACAAUAAGGUAAAUGAACUUGUCUUGUCCCCUUUACCCAUUUGUCAGCUGCAGGAUUAUCCUUUCUUUCAGUGUCUCUGAAUAUAUGUAGUGUGAUCUUUGCUUCUGGACAUUGAAUGGCAUGAUGAACAUAAGUGUACGUUUGUGUCCCCCUGCUCAUGUUCUCAUACCUUUGCAAAUGUUAGUGGAGAGGCUUUUUUUUUUUUUUUUUUAAAGAAAUGACUUGUGUAAAUAUGCCUGGCUUUUUUUUUUUUUCUUCCAAAAUUGUAUUUGGUGGGGGCUUCCACCUACAUAUUUUUAUAUAAAUUAUACACAGCCUACACAUAUGGAAUGAAAAUGUAUUUUUAUACAAUAGUUACCUCCACAGGGUAUUUCUGGUCAUCUUAUUCUGCUUGUAAUUAAAAUUUAGCUAGAGGUUUACCGAUCUCAUAAGGUCGUGGUAUAAAGACUAUUCUUGGCAGAUAAGAAAUCAUUGCGUCUCGCUGUAGAAGUGGAGGUUGUUUGAUCUAAGGUUCGAUGAGGUUUGUGUUCGUUAGAUGCAUCAGGAAUGCCUGUUGCAUGUGAUGAAGAUGUUUUUGUGUUUUUUGUUUUUUUUUCACAAUGACUGUGCCUUAAUGUGUCAUUAUGUGGCUAGACCAUAAAUGAUAACUUUAUAAGGAAUACGAUCAGUUAGUUACAAGCUAUGCAUUUUUGUCAGCCGUUGUCACUCAUAUAUACAUCACACUCAAUGAUUUUUUUUUUUAACUUCUUGAAGAGUGCCCCCCACAUUAUUGUCAUGUCUUAUGCAUUGUACCUGUCUUUCAGCAGUGAAACCUAUGUAAUUGCUAAUAGUUUUAUUUUAAUUCUGUGACUUGACCUCUAUAUUACGAUUUGUUGUAAAUAAAUAACUGUUUUCUAUUUGAAGAGGCUCCAAGUUUGUUUCAACUUUACCAUGCAGUUAGCUGAGGAAAAACGAAUGAACUUUCCUUGGUCUCCAGGUUAUACAUUUUCAAGAGCAGGUUUAUCUUUGCACCUAUCCCCUUUUUUUUAGUUUCAUUUGGCCCUUGCACCACGUCCGUAAAUGUUUUCUUUGCUCGUCCCGUAAAAUGAUUUUUAGAAGUAAUUUCAAUUUUGUAAUGUUAAGUCGUGCCUAGCUAAAUGUCUAUUUCUUAAGACCUAUCAGUAAAUUUUAUGAAGAGGCGUGGCUACAAAAAACCUGUCACUUGUCCAAAAUGUAAUAAUACAAAGUUUUUUUUUCUACAGGAAAAAAAAUAGGGCAAAGGAGCCAUGUUCUAAAAUGAAAAGCUAGUAAGUGGAUUGUAAGUUUGCAUGUCGUAGACAAUUCUGUAGGUAGAUGGCAGGUGCCAUUUGUCAUAAAUAGCUCGUACACCAUAAGAUUAUGAAUUGGGAAGCAACAUGUUAAACAAAUUAAAUAUGCUAAUGAGUUUAGUAAGUUGUAGGUGACUGUAUAGCUGUUUUGAUACUUAUGUAUUAUGUUUUAUGCUGUUUGUAGACAUUACUAGAACGACUUGCUUAAAGUUGCUUGGACACUUGAAAAUUUGCGGCAGCAUCAAUAUAGUAAUUGUAGUCCAGAAUUUUGGAUCUGUCAAAUUGUCCAAAAGAUAAGAGCUACAUGGUGAAAGACAAGUCUACAAAAGUGUCGACAGUAAUGUCUGCAUGUAGCAUGAUUUCCAUGGACAAAAUCAGGACUCCACUUAAGUCAGAUUUACUACUUUGGUGUUAUUGAGUAGCCAUGACUUUCCGUUACAAUGAUGUGCUGGUGUAUUGAAUUCUGUGUCAAAGAAUGGGCUCACCAUUCGAAGAGGGUGGAAUCGACCUUUAAAUUUAUGUCCUGUCUGAGUGGAUGCAAUGGUAGGAGUAUUCUAUAUGUAAGCGUUGGUUAACCUUGGCAUCUAUUAAUGAGAUAAGCUGAUGACUGGGAUUGUAGAUAGUGUUGGCUUCCUGUAUUUUAGUACGUAACAUAAUGUCACUUCUGACCUGGCCAAAGUUUCUUCCUCCGCUUACAUUUAUUUUGUGGGGCAGUAUUCUUCAAGCCAUUAACGUUUCUAAAACCUCUGGGAAUGUAUAAACCGUGCCUAAAACUCUUUAACACUGGCAAUAACUAAAGCUAGAAGAUAAUUGAACUAUAUGUAAUGUAUGAUUAUAAUUUUCUUUUUUUUUUUUAUCCUGGUGUAAUAUGGGAAGCAUUUUAAAACCAUUCUUUUGUAUAAAGGUGACAAUUUACUGUAGUUUAUAACUCAUUUGUAAACUUAAUUACGUUUCUGUUUUUAAUAAAGUCUCUUAAGAGCUCUA
This is an RNA transcript of Hyla sarda, 6055 nucleotides long. It is a transcript of the gene named Sp1 transcription factor, with no coding region annotated. Lineage: Eukaryota; Metazoa; Chordata; Amphibia; Anura; Hylidae. The transcript is spliced from 7 exons. The record is from RefSeq and is a predicted model, not a curated record.